UACGUAGGGUGCAAGCGUUGUCCGGAAUUAUUGGGCGUAAAGAGCUCGUAGGCGGUUUGUCGCGUCUGCUGUGAAAACUCGGGGCUUAACCCCGGGCCUGCAGUGGGUACGGGCAGACUAGAGUGCGGUAGGGGAGACUGGAAUUCCUGGUGUAGCGGUGAAAUGCGCAGAUAUCAAGAGGAACACCUGAGGUGAAGACGGGUUGCUGGGCUGACACUGACGCUGAGGCGCGAAAGCUAGGGUAGCAAACGGG
Molecule: ribosomal RNA, 253 nt
Filed under: uncultured bacterium
Lineage: Bacteria
Description: partial 16S ribosomal RNA
Rfam family: Bacterial small subunit ribosomal RNA
Source: RNAcentral